AUUGAACGUUAGCGGCAUGCCUUACACAUGCAAGUCGAACGGCAGCACGGGGGCAACCCUGGUGGCGAGUGGCGAACGGGUGAGUAAUGCAUCGGAACGUGCCCAUCGAUGGGGGAUAACUGCGCGAAAGCGUUGCUAAUACCGCAUACGACCUACGGGUGAAAGCAGGGGACCGCAAGGCCUUGCGUCGAUGGAGCGGCCGAUGCCGGAUUAGCUAGUUGGUGAGGUAAAGGCUCACCAAGGCGACGAUCCCGUAGCUGGUCUGAGAGGACGACCAGCCACACUGGGACUGAGACACGGCCCAGACUCCUACGGGAGGCAGCAGUGGGGAAUCUUGGACAAUGGGCGAAAGCCUGAUCCAGCAAUGCCGCGUGUGGGAAGAAGGCCUUCGGGUUGUAAACCACUUUUGGCGGGAAAGAAAUGGUCUGUGCUAAUACCACGGAUUGAUGACGGUACCCGCAGAAUAAGCACCGGCUAACUACGUG
Molecule: ribosomal RNA, 485 nt
Filed under: uncultured bacterium
Lineage: Bacteria
Description: bacterial SSU rRNA
Rfam family: Bacterial small subunit ribosomal RNA
Source: RNAcentral